Long non-coding RNA from Pyrgilauda ruficollis (rufous-necked snowfinch), 446 nucleotides. RefSeq lists it as uncharacterized. NCBI's taxonomy places the organism in Eukaryota, Metazoa, Chordata, Aves, Passeriformes, Passeridae. The transcript is spliced from 4 exons. The record is from RefSeq and is a predicted model, not a curated record.
CUGUCCCGGCGCUGCCGAGUGUCCCGGUGUCGCUCGGCGCCGCCGGGAGCGCCAGGAGCGGCGGCUCCGUCCCGUCCGCCCGCAGCGGAGCCGAGCGCGCAGGGAACGGCGCUGCCGCCUCGCCGCCGACAGCGCGAAACAUCUCAGGCUUUCUCCAGGCAAGUUCAUACCUGCCAGCCCCAUUUACUCCCAACUUUCCAACUUCAGCUAUUGUCUUAGGUCAGCCUUCCCCCCUCAGACCAGCAGUCCUGCUGAAGUUGGCAGAAACAGCGAAUUUCAGCAACAGGAGGGGUUAGAGGAGAUGUCACAGCAGCAGCCUCACCCUCAGCCCUGACCUGCUGCACCACUUCAGGUUUUCCCUGCACACAGGGCUGAUACUGUCUGCUCAGGCAGAGGACUGUGUACAGGACAGUCAAAAACUAAGAAGGUGACAGCCAUGCUUUAAU